UGUUUCUACUAAAAAAAUGAAAUAGUGGCUAUAAUGACAACACAGGUUUUGCUUCUAUCACAUAAUUUUAUUGCACUGGUGGUGAGACCUGUAACUUUU
RNAcentral lists this small nucleolar RNA (99 nucleotides) under Vicugna pacos (alpaca). Its description in RNAcentral is "Small nucleolar RNA SNORA1 (ENSVPAG00000017786.1)". Lineage: Eukaryota; Metazoa; Chordata; Mammalia; Artiodactyla; Camelidae. The record is from RNAcentral.